This 635-nucleotide long non-coding RNA is filed under the name Triticum aestivum (bread wheat). RNAcentral describes it as "long non-coding RNA (TAES_LNC026566)". Lineage: Eukaryota; Viridiplantae; Streptophyta; Magnoliopsida; Poales; Poaceae. The record is from RNAcentral.
CAGAAACAAGAAGUUUGCCUCUGAUGGACUGCAAAAAUAUUCUUCUUUGCCUUAUGGUGCUUCUGCUGCUAGGAAAUUCCACUCAUGCCGGUACAAUAUCAUUCUCCCUGACCUUAUAUAUGUCUCCUUUCUCAAGCCAACCGGAGUAGAGUAAUAUUGUCACCUGAAUUGCUGAAUUUCUUUGGAACCUUCUCAAUCUGUACUUCUUUUAACAGUGUGUAUUCUUGUCUGCAGAGUGUGAAGUGCACGUUGCUUUUACAGGCCCUGCAUGCAUCGCCUUAACUUGCCAAUAUGCAUGCCAAAGUUCCUGGGGAGAUCACACCAAGCAAGCUUAUUGUGUGUCUGUUAAUGUUGCCACUUGGAACUGUAGUUGCAACGUAUGUAAGUGGAGUUGAACUAGUCCAUAAUGUUAAACAAUGGACAAUGAUGUACCUGUGAGAAUGUCUUUUCAGCACCAAUUUUGGGUGUACCUGUGAUUUGAUUUGAUUUUGUCAUAUGUAAUCUCAGGUUUAGUGAUUGUGUGUCUGUAUGGCUCUCUUUCAUAAGUCCAGACAUAACCAUAUGUAACAUGAAUGAACCAAGUGUUAGAAAUAAUGGGCUUGGCCCACAUACAUUUUCUGAAAUUCCUGAAGUAU